AUGUCCAGGGAUGGGAAUCGAACCCACAGUGUUCCGCUUACCGGGCAGAUGCCAUGUCCACUAGGCA
Molecule: non-coding RNA, 67 nt
Organism: Cordylochernes scorpioides
Lineage: Eukaryota; Metazoa; Arthropoda; Arachnida; Pseudoscorpiones; Chernetidae
Source: the annotation of a GenBank genome assembly